UACGGAGGAUCCAAGCGUUAUCCGGAAUCAUUGGGUUUAAAGGGUCCGUAGGCGGUUUUGUAAGUCAGUGGUGAAAUCCGGCAGCUCAACUGUCGAACUGCCAUUGAUACUGCAGGACUUGAAUUAUUGUGAAGUAACUAGAAUAUGUAGUGUAGCGGUGAAAUGCUUAGAUAUUACAUGGAAUACCAAUUGCGAAGGCAGGUUACUAACAAUAUAUUGACGCUGAUGGACGAAAGCGUGGGGAGCGAACAGG
Molecule: ribosomal RNA, 253 nt
Filed under: uncultured bacterium
Lineage: Bacteria
Description: partial 16S ribosomal RNA
Rfam family: Bacterial small subunit ribosomal RNA
Source: RNAcentral